UCGAGCGGGCGUAGCAAUACGUCAGCGGCAGACGGGUGAGUAACGCGUGGGAACGUACCUUUUGGUUCGGAACAACACAGGGAAACUUGUGCUAAUACCGGAUAAGCCCUUACGGGGAAAGAUUUAUCGCCGAAAGAUCGGCCCGCGUCUGAUUAGCUAGUUGGUGAGGUAAUGGCUCACCAAGGCGACGAUCAGUAGCUGGUCUGAGAGGAUGAUCAGCCACAUUGGGACUGAGACACGGCCCAAACUCCUACGGGAGGCAGCAGUGGGGAAUAUUGGACAAUGGGGGCAACCCUGAUCCAGCCAUGCCGCGUGAGUGAUGAAGGCCCUAGGGUUGUAAAGCUCUUUUGUGCGGGAAGAUAAUGACGGUACCGCAAGAAUAAGCCCCGGCUAACUUCGUGCCAGCAGCCGCGGUAAUACGAAGGGGGCUAGCGUUGCUCGGAAUCACUGGGCGUAAAGGGUGCGUAGGCGGGUCUUUAAGUCAGGGGUGAAAUCCUGGAGCUCAACUCCAGAACUGCCUUUGAUACUGAAGAUCUUGAGUUCGGGAGAGGUGAGUGGAACUGCGAGUGUAGAGGUGAAAUUCGUAGAUAUUCGCAAGAACACCAGUGGCGAAGGCGGCUCACUGGCCCGAUACUGACGCUGAGGCACGAA
RNAcentral lists this ribosomal RNA (651 nucleotides) under Bradyrhizobium sp. YIC61000. RNAcentral describes it as "bacterial SSU rRNA". It matches the Rfam family "Bacterial small subunit ribosomal RNA", at positions 62 to 757 of the family's 1533-position model. The record is from RNAcentral. Lineage: Bacteria; Pseudomonadati; Pseudomonadota; Alphaproteobacteria; Hyphomicrobiales; Nitrobacteraceae.